RNAcentral lists this ribosomal RNA (466 nucleotides) under uncultured bacterium. Its description in RNAcentral is "partial 16S ribosomal RNA". It matches the Rfam family "Bacterial small subunit ribosomal RNA", at positions 28 to 507 of the family's 1533-position model. The record is from RNAcentral.
GAUGAACGCUGGCGGCGUGCUUAACGCAUGCAAGUCGAACGAUGAAGCCCAGCUUGCUGGGUGGAUUAGUGGCGAACGGGUGAGUAACACGUGAGUAACCUGCCCUUAACUCUGGGAUAAGCCUGGGAAACUGGGUCUAAUACCGGAUAGGAGCGUCCACCGCAUGGUGGGUGUUGGAAAGAUUUAUCGGUUUUGGAUGGACUCGCGGCCUAUCAGCUUGUUGGUGAGGUAAUGGCUCACCAAGGCGACGACGGGUAGCCGGCCUGAGAGGGUGACCGGCCACACUGGGACUGAGACACGGCCCAGACUCCUACGGGAGGCAGCAGUGGGGAAUAUUGCACAGUGGGCGCAAGCCUGAUGCAGCGACGCCGCGUGAGGGAUGACGGCCUUCGGGUUGUAAACCUCUUUCAGUAGGGAAGAAGCGAAAGUGACGGUACCUGCAGAAGAAGCACCGGCUAACUACGUG